Molecule: ribosomal RNA, 243 nt
Filed under: uncultured bacterium
Lineage: Bacteria
Description: partial 16S ribosomal RNA
Rfam family: Bacterial small subunit ribosomal RNA
Source: RNAcentral
UACGAAGGGGGCGUAGCGUUGUCUCGGAAUCACUGGGCGGUAAAGGGCGCGUAGGCGGCCUUGUAAGUUGGGGUGAAAGCCCGUGGCUCAACCACGGAAUUGCCUUCGAUACUGCUUGGCUUGAGUGUGGUAGAGGUUGGUGGAACUGCGAGUGUAGAGGUGAAAUUCGUAGAUAUUCGCAAGAACACCAGUGGCGAAGGCGGCUCGCUGGCCCCGAUACUGACGCUGAGGCACGAAAAGCGU